Molecule: ribosomal RNA, 492 nt
Filed under: uncultured bacterium
Lineage: Bacteria
Description: partial 16S ribosomal RNA
Rfam family: Bacterial small subunit ribosomal RNA
Source: RNAcentral
AGUGAACGCUGGCGGUAGGCCUAACACAUGCAAGUCGAACGGCAGCACAGUAAGAGCUUGCUCUUACGGGUGGCGAGUGGCGGACGGGUGAGGAAUACAUCGGAAUCUACUUUUUCGUGGGGGAUAACGUAGGGAAACUUACGCUAAUACCACAUACGACCUACGGGUGAAAGCAGGGGAUCUUCGGACCUUGCGCGAUUGAAUGAGCCGAUGUCGGAUUAGCUAGUUGGCGGGGUAAAGGCCCACCAAGGCGACGAUCCGUAGCUGGUCUGAGAGGAUGAUCAGCCACACUGGAACUGAGACACGGUCCAGACUCCUACGGGAGGCAGCAGUGGGGAAUAUUGGACAAUGGGCGCAAGCCUGAUCCAGCCAUACCGCGUGGGUGAAGAAGGCCUUCGGGUUGUAAAGCCCUUUUGUUGGGAAAGAAAGGCAGCAGGUUAAUACCCCGCUGUUCUGACGGUACCCAAAGAAUAAGCACCGGCUAACUUCGUG